CUAGCCAUUUGGAUGAGUGACGGCCACAUGGUAAUGGAGUGCCACUAGCACAGUGUUUCAGUAUAGUACAGGGGAAUGCAACUGUGAAGCACCAGUGUGUGAAGUCGCCUUCAGUUAAAGAAGAUUUUAAUAGUUUUUUACAAACCGUUUGAUGUGACCAGUAUGCAAGUCUUAUAACCAGCUAUUGCGGUAUGAUUCAAUGUGAAUUGUUUCAGGUAUGAGCAUGUUAAAUAAUAUUAAAUGUGUGUUAAUGAUGUGCUUGAUCUUAUGUGUUUGCAUUUUUUUUUUUUUUUUUUUUUUUUUUUUUUUGUCAGUCACUGUUUUCCUUGCCUUCAGAUUAUGUUAAUGCUUUAGUGUUUGUCACGUGUUAACCGGAUGCAGCGCUCUGUUAUCGCAUUGAGAAGCACUAAGGUGGAGAGACUCAUUCUUUUGUUGUGUUCUUUGUAUUUUGCAUUGUGUAUAUCAUAUUGUAUUUUUAUUUUGUUUAUUUGGUCAUUGGCAAUUGUAUAAUUUACAAUAUUUAUGGUGCAAUUGCACAGAGCAAUGUGCAGUAAUUCCCUUUAAUGUAUAACAGAAGUGUGCCGAUUGCAGUGUAUCAAGCGAAGGUGAUUGAUUUGAUUUGCGCUGUGAUUUCCUGCUUGUGUAUUGGAGUUUAGUGUGUAUUUGGUGUUAUAUUUAAAGGGUUUACGACUUGCCUUGAACGUGUACCUUUCAUUGGAGAGUUAUUUAUUUGCUUUUUUAUG
Molecule: long non-coding RNA, 743 nt
Organism: Cyprinus carpio (common carp)
Lineage: Eukaryota; Metazoa; Chordata; Actinopteri; Cypriniformes; Cyprinidae
Exons: 3
Source: RefSeq, a predicted model, not a curated record